UCCUUAGUGGUCCAGUGGCUAAGACCCCGUGCUCCCAAUGCAGGGGGCCCAGGUUCGAUCCCUGGUCAGGGAA
RNAcentral lists this transfer RNA (73 nucleotides) under Bos taurus (domestic cattle). It matches the Rfam family "tRNA". Rfam says of the family: Transfer RNA (tRNA) molecules are approximately 80 nucleotides in length. Their secondary structure includes four short double-helical elements and three loops (D, anti-codon, and T loops). Further hydrogen bonds mediate the characteristic L-shaped molecular structure. tRNAs have two regions of fundamental functional importance: the anti-codon, which is responsible for specific mRNA codon recognition, and the 3' end, to which the tRNAs corresponding amino acid is attached (by aminoacyl-tRNA synthetases). tRNAs cope with the degeneracy of the genetic code in two manners: having more than one tRNA (with a specific anti-codon) for a particular amino acid; and 'wobble' base-pairing, i.e. permitting non-standard base-pairing at the 3rd anti-codon position. The record is from Rfam by way of RNAcentral. RNAcentral also lists the same sequence under 4 other names. Lineage: Eukaryota; Metazoa; Chordata; Mammalia; Artiodactyla; Bovidae.